Pipistrellus kuhlii (Kuhl's pipistrelle) is the source of this 163-nucleotide long non-coding RNA. RefSeq lists it as uncharacterized. NCBI's taxonomy places the organism in Eukaryota, Metazoa, Chordata, Mammalia, Chiroptera, Vespertilionidae. The transcript is spliced from 3 exons. The record is from RefSeq and is a predicted model, not a curated record.
GGAAGGGAGAGAGAUAGAGAGAAGAGAGAGAGAUAGAGAGAGAGACAGAGAGAAACAUGGCUGUGAGAGAGAUGCAUUGAUUGUCUGCCUCCUGCUCGCACCCCGACCAGGGCAGGGGAACCUGCCACUGAGUUAUGUGGCCUUGAUCAGAAUCAAACCCAGA